CCGGGGCAGGCACCUGGGGAGCCGGACUUUCGGUUGCCCUUGAAUUGGCUGCACCCACUUAGGUGCAGAAGGGCUACUUCCGAUGGCCCGGGCGGCCGGAGACCAGGUCGCGGGCGGUGCCCUUUGGGCUCCCCAGCCGUUCCCGCCGUUCUUACUCCUGGUUACUCCCCGCCGCCGGCUGUCACGUAAUUUCGAAGUCUUUGGUUCGAAGUUAUACAAACAGCGAGCGCGAGCUUGGAAAGUUUUUGGUGCAUUUUCUUAAAGUGGGUUCCUUGACAUCCCAGAACUGUGACCAGACGUCAUCCAUCCUCCUCCAGCCCCACCCGCAGCUCCCUUUGUCAUUCUCAGACCUUGCCGUUCCUCUGAGAUGUGCCAGGAGCGAUUGUCGAUGUUUCGUUGAUGUGGGUUUCCACCCGAGCUGCCGCGCUGAAAUCUGGACAGUAGCUGCCGGAGGGUGAGGUCAUGGUGAAAAUCCCCCUUCACCGGACACUGUGAUGCAGGCUCUUCCCUAGAAGGAAGCAGAUAAGCAAACAGACCGAGGACAAGAGCCGGCAAAUUUUAGGUUUCCUGCCAGAUUGCAGAGGAUAUGACCAGCCGAGGGACUUUUUUUCUAUCUUAGUAGCGGAUUCAGGCCAGGACACCUGAAGGGCUGCCAGGAGACAAGCGACAAGUGACAGCUGGCUUGGCAGAGAGACUGCAUCGCAAGGACCCCGGAAGCCGACUUCUUCUCUCUUAGUAUUCUAGUUUAAAGUGGAAAAAGGCAUUUGGGUCGGUCUCUGUUUAUGGCAGGGCAGCCCUAAUGCUCCUUGAUUGGGGCUUCUGGGGCUCAGAAACUUCUGUGUCAGGCACUGAGGUGAGAAGGAGGUCAGCAGUCUGAGCGGCUCAUGAACACGUUUAAAUUUAAAAAUCAGUGCUAAUCAGUUUACUGGCCGGGUUGGGUUAAUGGCUGAGGAGCCUCAUGACUCGGUAAAUUGGCUGCAGUAAACAAUACCUACAGUAGGAUUACCUCCUGUUGUCCUGGCCGAGCCCACAGGGGUGGAUAAGCUACAAUAUACAAAGUAGGGUCAGUUCAACUCCAGUAUCUGUGGAUUGAUAGGGUCAGAAGCACUAGGCCAUGCCUUCAGGCAGAAUCGAUGGUAAAAGUCCACCCGGGAUGCAAGAUAUCUCUGUAGCCUCAGCUAGUGUUUGGGAAGUUCUGUUCUCCAACCAUGAGAGGACAGACCUCUGCCCAGGACAGGGAUAUAGCAUUGGCCCCCAAACACCCAUUUCUAUGUGGACUUCAGAUGCUAAUUUGAAUUCUACAAAAGCAGGAAGAGAGAAGCCUAUCAGUUAGUUAGUUAACAUCUUUUUUUCUUUUUCCAGUAGUGUGUGCAACAUAAUUGGAGAACCAAGGAUCUCUAGGAGGCAGGAAGGUAUUCCCGCCCUGCCAGUUCAUGUUGUGACAUGUAGACCAGCAGAGAAAGUUGUUCCAAGCCCUGCCUGUAACCUUCUGUUGGAACGAGCUUGGCUCAGAUCAAGCCCAGCUGCUCUAAUCAGUGUUUCUGAAAAAAAGAGACCUCUUUGGGCCCAGCCUGGAGUCUGGCUGCAGUUGUCCAACUGCUUCUAACUGUCUGGUCAUCAAGCCACCUUGAAAACAUGAGCAUUAAAAUGAGCUAGAGGUUUGGUGACUCCUCGGAAAGUUAAACAUAACAAUUGCCCUAUGACCCAGCAAUUCCACUCCCAGGUAUAUACCCAAAAGAAAUGAAAAGAGGCGUUCAAAGAAAAAAAUGUACACCUGUGUUCAUGGCAGCACUAUUCAGAAGAGCCCAAAGGGGUGAACAACUCAUAGAUCCAUCAAUGGAUGGAUGGAUAAACAAAAUGUAGUGUACCCAUGCAACGCAAUUAUUCAGCCAUAAAAGCAAAUGAAGUACUAACACGUGCUACAAUGUGGAUGAACCCUGAAAACAUUAAUGCUACAUGAAAAAGCCGGUCACAAAAGGCCACACAGGGUCUGUUGAUAACAACAGUGAGAAAAAUACACGCAUAUUGGAUGUUGUCCCCCAAAUCUGAACUCUGAAGUAGGGCGGGGUUUAUUCAUUUUCAACAGCACCGGAGGUGUCAGGCAAGGAUCCAGCUGCCAUAUUGUGAGGACCCUCAAGCAGCCCCACGCAGGGGUCCACGUGGGAAAGAACUGAGGCCACUGCCAACGGCCAGCACCAACUUGCCAGCCUCGUGAGUGAGCCAUCCGGGAAGCAGAUCCUAGUCAAGCCCCAGGUAAUGGCUUGUCUGCAGCCUCUUGAGAGAUCCUGAGUUAGGACCAGGCAGCUGUAAGUGGCUGCCGAACUCCUGACCCACAGAGACUAAUAAUA
Long non-coding RNA from Lagenorhynchus albirostris (white-beaked dolphin), 2348 nucleotides. RefSeq lists it as uncharacterized. The record is from RefSeq and is a predicted model, not a curated record. Lineage: Eukaryota; Metazoa; Chordata; Mammalia; Artiodactyla; Delphinidae. The transcript is spliced from 3 exons.